This is a non-coding RNA of Misgurnus anguillicaudatus (oriental weatherfish), 417 nucleotides long. The record is from RefSeq and is a predicted model, not a curated record. Lineage: Eukaryota; Metazoa; Chordata; Actinopteri; Cypriniformes; Cobitidae.
UCACGCAUCCGAGACUCCGGUCACGUGGGAAGAAACCCGGAAGUAUCGCCGUGAAUCACAUGAGAGUUGCAAAUGCGAUGUUGUGUAUUAGGCUGUACAUCAUAUUAACGUAAAGAGAGUGAUAAUAUAUAUCCUUUCAUCUAUUCCCGAGUGACUCAAAGGGAUAUUGGACCUUAUUUUCAGAUUACAGACAACACGAGAGGGUGCUCCAAACUUUUUAAUCAGGACUGCAUUGUUUGUUCGCUCCCGGGGUUACAUAGAUUGAAACGGGGAAGCGUGACGAGUUUGUUUACAUGGUGCUGUAAACUCCAACUACAGGAGGACACUUCAGAGGAAUCAAGGUGUCUGUGAUGUUGAAACACUAAAGGAAGAAGAGGAGGACCACCAUUUGUUUCCUGAUCAGAACACAAGAGAAGA